Sander lucioperca (pikeperch) is the source of this 285-nucleotide long non-coding RNA. RefSeq lists it as uncharacterized. The record is from RefSeq and is a predicted model, not a curated record. The transcript is spliced from 4 exons. NCBI's taxonomy places the organism in Eukaryota, Metazoa, Chordata, Actinopteri, Perciformes, Percidae.
CUGCGGGCAUUUCUCCGUUCCUGUUUCUAUGUCUACAUUGAAAGCUUUAUAUAUCAGAUCUGAAAUAGUGAGUCUGCACCGAGUGAAACCACAGAACUUCCUACUACGUUAGUGGUUAGAGACAAUGGGCUAGUUUCCUUGGCGAUUUAGCAAUACUGACUCAAGUGACUCGCACAACCCAGAUCAGUUUAGUGAGUGACUCAGAAUAACCUGAAUCCUUAAAAAGAAUUGAGUUUGCCAGGCCUAAUUUCUGAGCUACAAUGUCUUCCUCUGAUUGGCCAGCUG